UAUAGAUGGAUCCGCGCUGCAUUAGCUAGUUGGUAAGGUAACGGCUUACCAAGGCAACGAUGCAUAGCCGACCUGAGAGGGUGAUCGGCCACACUGGAACUGAGACACGGUCCAGACUCCUACGGGAGGCAGCAGUAGGGAAUCUUCCGCAAUGGGCGAAAGCCUGACGGAGCAACGCCGCGUGAGUGAUGAAGGUCUUCGGAUCGUAAAACUCUGUUAUUAGGGAAGAACAUAUGUGUAAGUAACUGUGCACAUCUUGACGGUACCUAAUCAGAAAGCCACGGCUAACUACGUGCCAGCAGCCGCGGUAAUACGUAGGUGGCAAGCGUUAUCCGGAAUUAUUGGGCGUAAAGCGCGCGUAGGCGGUUUUUUAAGUCUGAUGUGAAAGCCCACGGCUCAACCGUGGAGGGUCAUUGGAAACUGGAAAACUUGAGUGCAGAAGAGGAAAGUGGAAUUCCAUGUGUAGCGGUGAAAUGCGCAGAGAUAUGGAGGAACACCAGUGGCGAAGGCGACUUUCUGGUCUGUAACUGACGCUGAUGUGCGAAAGCGUGGGGAUCAA
Molecule: ribosomal RNA, 559 nt
Filed under: Staphylococcus aureus
Lineage: Bacteria; Bacillati; Bacillota; Bacilli; Caryophanales; Staphylococcaceae
Description: bacterial SSU rRNA
Rfam family: Bacterial small subunit ribosomal RNA
Source: RNAcentral